UACGGGGGGAGCAAGCGCUGUUCGGAUUUACUGGGCGUAAAGGGCGCGUAGGCGGCGCAACAAGUCACUUGUGAAAUCUCCGGGCUUAACUCGGAGCGGUCAAGUGAUACUGUCGUGCUAGAGUGCGGAAGGGGCUACUGGAAUUCUCGGUGUAGCGGUGAAAUGCGUAGAUAUCGAGAGGAACACCUGCGGCGAAGGCGGGUAGCUGGGCCGACACUGACGCUGAUGCGCGAAAGCGUGGGGAGCGAACAGG
RNAcentral lists this ribosomal RNA (253 nucleotides) under uncultured bacterium. Its description in RNAcentral is "partial 16S ribosomal RNA". It matches the Rfam family "Bacterial small subunit ribosomal RNA", at positions 524 to 776 of the family's 1533-position model. The record is from RNAcentral.